GAUCGGACAGAUUGGUAAUACGGGGAUUCCAUGGUCUAGCACAUACCCUAAUUUCUCACAAUUCAAAACUAUUUUUGAAAUUUGCUUAACCAGUCUUUAUAAUUGGGUUUGAUCAAACGGUUGUUCUAUAGGAUAUGAGUUAAAAGUCUAGAAGCUGACAUUAUAAUCCUCAGAGAGUAAAGAUUCUAGUUAGAAUUUUGUACUUGAUCCUAAUUUGUUCUAGGGUCUUUUAGAACAAACGUACCUCCCACUAUUUUCUCGAAUUCCUCACACUCCCCUGGUAGGAAAAUGGAAAACUUACACGACUAGAAUUUCUAGUGGGUACUGCGGUCCCACCGAUUUAUAUGCCACCUCACCUAACAGUUAUUGGUGACACAUAAAUAGAGAGUAAGGUCCUAAUUAAGUAACCACCUUUCAUGCUUUUCUAGAUACCAAUUAAAUCAAUUAAUCUAAUAUGACUCGCUCAUGUCGGUUCACUCUCGACUUGAUUGAGGAGGUUUUAGUUUAGGUCUCAUUUGAAUUGGUCUAUUAGUUUGCAUC
This 540-nucleotide long non-coding RNA is filed under the name Phoenix dactylifera (date palm). RNAcentral describes it as "long non-coding RNA (PDAC_LNC012805)". The record is from RNAcentral. Lineage: Eukaryota; Viridiplantae; Streptophyta; Magnoliopsida; Arecales; Arecaceae.